GACGAACGCUGGCGGUGUGCUUAACACAUGCAAGUCGAACGAAGAGCGAUGGAAGCUUGCUUCUAUCAAUCUUAGUGGCGCACGGGUGAGUAACGCGUAAUCAACCUGCCCUUCAGAGGGGGACAACAGUUGGAAACGACUGCUAAUACCGCAUACGAUCUAAUCUCGGCAUCGAGGAUAGAUGAAAGGUGGCCUCUACAUGUAAGCUAUCACUGAAGGAGGGGAUUGCGUCUGAUUAGCUAGUUGGAGGGGUAACGGCCCACCAAGGCGAUGAUCAGUAGCCGGUCUGAGAGGAUGAACGGCCACAUUGGGACUGAGACACGGCCCAGACUCCUACGGGAGGCAGCAGUGGGGAAUCUUCCGCAAUGGACGAAAGUCUGACGGAGCAACGCCGCGUGAGUGAUGACGGCCUUCGGGUUGUAAAGCUCUGUUAAUCGGGACGAAAGGCCUUCUUGCGAAUAGUGAGAAGGAUUGACGGUACCGGAAUAGAAAGCCACGGCUAACUACGUG
This 510-nucleotide ribosomal RNA is filed under the name uncultured bacterium. Its description in RNAcentral is "partial 16S ribosomal RNA". It matches the Rfam family "Bacterial small subunit ribosomal RNA", at positions 28 to 507 of the family's 1533-position model. The record is from RNAcentral.